This 624-nucleotide ribosomal RNA is filed under the name uncultured bacterium. RNAcentral's name for it is "bacterial SSU rRNA". It matches the Rfam family "Bacterial small subunit ribosomal RNA", at positions 103 to 707 of the family's 1533-position model. The record is from RNAcentral.
CGGGUGAGUAACACGUAGGUAAUCUACCUUUGGAUGGGGAAUAACAACCGGAAACGGUUGCUAAUACCGCAUAAUGCAGCGGCACCUAAUGGUGACAGUUGUUAAAGCGGGGGAUCGCAAGACCUCGCGUCUGAAGAGGAGCCUGCGGCAGAUUAGCUAGUUGGUAAGGUAACGGCUUACCAAGGCGAUGAUCUGUAGCCGGCCUGAGAGGGCGGUCGGCCACACUGACACUGACAUACGGGUCAGACUCCUACGGGAGGCAGCAGUCGGGAAUUUUGGGCAAUGGGCGAAAGCCUGACCCAGCAACGCCGCGUGAAGGAUGAAAUCCCUCGGGAUGUAAACUUCGCAAGAACGGGAAGAAUAAACCGGUGUAAAUACCACCGGCGAUGACGGUACUGUUUGUAAGCUCCGGCUAACUCCGUGCCAGCAGCCGCGGUAAUACGGGGGGAGCAAGCGUUGUUCGGAUUUACUGGGCGUAAAGGGCGCGUAGGCGGCCACCGCAAGUCGACUGUGAAAUCUCCGGGCUUAACCCGGAACGGUCAGCCGAUACUGCGGGGCUAGAGUGCAGAAGGGGCAACUGGAAUUCUCGGUGUAGCGGUGAAAUGCGUAGAUAUCGAGAGGAAC